AGAGUUUGAUCCUGGCUCAGGAUGAACGCUAGCUACAGGCUUAACACAUGCAAGUCGAGGGGCAGCAUGUUGGUUGCUUGCAACCAAUGAUGGCGACCGGCGCACGGGUGAGUAACGCGUAUCCAACCUACCCUUGUCCAUCGGAUAACCCGUCGAAAGGCGGCCUAACACGAUAUGCGGUUCACAGCAGGCAUCUAAGGUGAACGAAAUGUGAAGGAGAAGGAUGGGGAUGCGUCUGAUUAGCUUGGUUGGCGGGGUAACGGCCCACCAAGGCUACGAUCAGUAGGGGUUCUGAGAGGAAGGUCCCCCACAUUGGAACUGAGACACGGUCCAAACGUCCUACGGGAGCCA
This 351-nucleotide ribosomal RNA is filed under the name uncultured bacterium. Its description in RNAcentral is "bacterial SSU rRNA". It matches the Rfam family "Bacterial small subunit ribosomal RNA", at positions 8 to 350 of the family's 1533-position model. The record is from RNAcentral.